UUCCCUUGGCCACCACCAACUGGAAAGGAAGGAGGGGGACGUCAUGCGGCAGCAUGCUGUGAGUGCUGUGAAUGCUCUAUAACCGUAUGGGAGCCAAUCCUGUCUGUGUUUUGUCCACAUCCAAAAUUCCUGCUGAAUGACCCACCCUGGGAGCGAGUUACCAGUGACCCAGGGCCACGGCGGAAAGAAGAGCUUCAUGGAAAGGAAACAGCAAUGGUCUCAUCUCCUCCCUUCCAUGUCCCACCACCUCUGAGGCAAUGUAUGCUCCUAUGGGCACAGUGAGGAAGCAGCCCCUACACAACCCCAAAUGCCAGGAUGGUGCAUGUGACUGGCAUUUGAAUGAGAUGCACAAGGAUUGGGUGCUACUUGUGUUCUCUCUUCAAGGCAAGUGCUCAAAGACCAGCCACAAGCUCGGCCUAGGUUGUAAAGUGAAGCACUUAAAAGUCAAGAAAUGCUAAAAUUAAGUGUCAAAACAACCUUAACUCUGCCCUCUUUUGCAUAUGAAAUGCAAUAUGGGUCUGAUCCUCCACAGAUGUAAAUGGAUGUAUUGAUUCCCAAAUAGUUAGACCAAAUUACUGAGGAUCAAGGCUAUAGUCUUUAUAUGGUCACAAACAAUUAUUGUCUGAGUACUUCUGACUUAUAGGGUGCACAGGUUGGACAGUGCUCAGUGAAUGAGGUUGCUGUUCACUAUUUAUUAUCAUCCAGUGAGUACACUCUUAUCUUUUUUACUACACUAUCUCACCCAUCAGGCCUCCUCUAGACUUUCACUCCAACUUGAUGGCAUAAAAUGGUAUCUUUGCCAAUGUUUGUAUUUAAAAAUUGUUGUCCAGAUAUUAUGCCCAAACCUGGAAAUAUAAUCUGA
Gopherus flavomarginatus (Mexican gopher tortoise) is the source of this 862-nucleotide long non-coding RNA. RefSeq lists it as uncharacterized. NCBI's taxonomy places the organism in Eukaryota, Metazoa, Chordata, Testudines, Testudinidae. The record is from RefSeq and is a predicted model, not a curated record. The transcript is spliced from 3 exons.